Molecule: ribosomal RNA, 433 nt
Filed under: uncultured bacterium
Lineage: Bacteria
Description: partial 16S ribosomal RNA
Rfam family: Bacterial small subunit ribosomal RNA
Source: RNAcentral
AACGAACGCUGGCGGCAUGCCUAACACAUGCAAGUCGAACGAGACCUGCGGGUCUAGUGGCGCACGGGUGCGUAACGCGUGGGAACCUGCCCUUAGGUUCGGAAUAACUCCCCGAAAGGGGUGCUAAUACCGGAUAAUGUCUUCGGACCAAAGAUUUAUCGCCUUUGGAAGGGCCCGCGUUGGAUUAGCUAGUUGGUAGGGUAAAAGCCUACCAAGGCGACGAUCCAUAGCUGGUCUGAGAGGAUGAUCAGCCACACUGGGACUGAGACACGGCCCAGACUCCUACGGGAGGCAGCAGUGGGGAAUAUUGGACAAUGGGCGAAAGCCUGAUCCAGCAAUGCCGCGUGAGUGAUGAAGGCCUUAGGGUUGUAAAGCUCUUUUACCCGGGAUGAUAAUGACAGUACCGGGAGAAUAAGCUCCGGCUAACUCCGUG